Molecule: ribosomal RNA, 520 nt
Filed under: uncultured Bacillota bacterium
Lineage: Bacteria; Bacillati; Bacillota
Description: bacterial SSU rRNA
Rfam family: Bacterial small subunit ribosomal RNA
Source: RNAcentral
GAGUUUGAUCAUGGCUCAGGACGAACGCUGGCGGCGUGCCUAACACAUGCAAGUCGAACGGAACUAUAUAUGGAAGUUCUUCGGAAUGGAAGUAUUUAGUUUAGUGGCGGACGGGUGAGUAACGCGUGAGUAACCUGCCUUUCAGAGGGGGAUAACGUUCGGAAACGAACGCUAAUACCGCAUAACAUAUAUAUGUCGCAUGGCGUGUAUAUCAAAGGAGCAAUCCGCUGAAAGAUGGACUCGCGUCUGAUUAGAUAGUUGGUGGGGUAAUGGCUCACCAAGUCGACGAUCAGUAGCCGGACUGAGAGGUUGAACGGCCACAUUGGGACUGAGACACGGCCCAGACUCCUACGGGAGGCAGCAGUGGGGGAUAUUGCACAAUGGGCGCAAGCCUGAUGCAGCAACGCCGCGUGAGGGAAGACGGUUUUCGGAUUGUAAACCUCUGUCUUUGGUGAAGAAACAAAUGACGGUAGCCAAGGAGGAAGCCACGGCUAACUACGUGCCAGCAGCCGCGGUAAAA